Molecule: long non-coding RNA, 2081 nt
Organism: Astyanax mexicanus (Mexican tetra)
Lineage: Eukaryota; Metazoa; Chordata; Actinopteri; Characiformes; Acestrorhamphidae
Exons: 4
Source: RefSeq, a predicted model, not a curated record
GCCGCAAGAAAGACGUCCUUUUUUCCGGGAGCUGCAUGGGGACUGCAGGAGUUUAAAGCCUCGCUGUGUUUUAUGGGGAAUAGUUAUUAAUAUUGGGUCAAAUAAUCCAGUAUUUCUUCACUCUGGUGCUGAAGGUCCGCUGCGCUGCUCUUACUGUGUUUCCUUUUUACUCUGUUUUCAUUUAAAGUCCCUCAGUCUUAAAACAGUGGCACUAGCGGGCCUCCAGCGGGCCUUCAGCACCGUUAGUGAUUAUUACCCUGCCGGAUUAGAUUAGAGCAGCGCGGCGGAGCUCUGUAAGUCCCGGUGCUGCUGCAACUGGAUUUUAUAAAGAUAUGAGAAAAGAAUGCUUUCGUCGUGGAUUUAACAUGAAAAGGUAAGCUGCUGUUAUGUUCUGAUCUGUGCAGGCAGUUUAUGCACUUAACGUAACUCCGUUAGACAACUAACUUACAGAGCUAGCGUUUGUUGUGUCUCCGGCUUAGUUUUCUGCAGUCCAUGAUUUAUUAGCUAAGGUGUUUAGUUUAUUUUGACCCCAAACAGCAGCAUUCACUGCAUUUUGCAUACUAUUAACUAACCGCGUGAAUCCACUGUACGUGCAAGUUAGCGUUAACUUCAUCACGAACGAGUAACGGAUUAGUAAACACACUCUUGUCUUUUUUUUGAAUCCUCACAGUUUCUGUCAGAAAACACUGAAAGAAAACUUCUCCUCUGUCUCUGUUUAUACAGCGAUGGUUUGGGUUUAAAGCUGGGUUUGUUGUGCUGGAUAUUUGAUUAGGAGCAGGAGAUUUUAUAAGAUGUGUGGCUGCAUAAUUGUGAACUGAGAUCGCGGUCUGUGAAGUUACACCCGCAGCUAACCAGUGACUUUAAAAAACAAAUAAACACAGCUGUUACUGGACUUUAUGGGUUUUAAAAAAUGAGUUAAUUACUUUUAAAAGACUAGGCUACUAAUGUUGGCCCUGCUGAGUCCAGCUGAUCAUCCAGAAAUAAACAUGACCUAUGCUGGUCAAAAGCUAUUUAAAGAGCUAACCUCCCAGGGUGUGUUUGUUUUUGUUUUUUUUUCUGGUUUUGAGCAUUUUUUAAAGGAGGGAGUGUACGUCUGUGCUGCAGUAGAAGAGUGUAAUUUUAGAAAAGUUGCUGUAUUUGUCUCACUGUCUUAGAUAGUAUAGACUUUAAACAUGUUACUAAAAAUUUACACUGGACCGUGUUUUUAAAUACUUGCCAUUCUGGAUGUCCUGAACAUUUUCAUGCAUAUUUUUUAUGUCGGUUAGUUUUAUUUAUAUAAAGUAAGACCUGUAGAUCUACUUUAUUGGAUAAAUUGAUACAGCUACCAUGAACUGUUUUGUUUCUGUUCUGUAAAAUCAGGCCCAGUUCCAAAAGACACAACAUCCUCAGUGUCCUGGAGCUCCAGCUGAAGCACUGGCCACUCCACCUUCUCCAUCCCCACCCAAAAGAGGUACUUCUAAGGCAGCUAGUUGAAGGCGUGAUUGAGGUCCAUGCCAGAGGGGUUCUGCACUGUGACCUCAAGCCAUAGAACAUCCUGGUUCAGAUGUACAGUUAGGAACCACGCCUUCAUCUUCUGUUCUUCUGGACCUUCCUCAUGAGUGGUUUACCCAUGAGGCCAAAUCCUCCACAGUGUUGCAGAUAGGAAUCAUCCUGCUGUGUGUGAGAGGUGACCCUUCAACACCAGCACGGAGAUCACCUCAAAGAAGUCUCAGAUCAUCUCUCCACCAUCUGCUCUAUGACCCCUGGCUAAGUAUACACCACGACACAGCCACCACAUCAGGCACACCUCAGUCAGGUACCAUAUAAAACAAUAAUAAUAAUAAUUUUAAAAAAUCUAUAUUUUCAAUCUCUAGUUUAGAGAGUUCUCUAGUAGAGCUGGGCGAUUAAUUGAUUUUAUCGAUAAAUUCGAAUUUAUAGUUAAGGACAAUGUGUUUUUAUGAAAAUCGAUUUUCUGAGUUUUCUUUUUCACCACAGACGCUCCUCUGUGGGCACAGAGUGAGCUUAGCUAGCUCCCUCCAUACCUCCCUCCCUCCAGCGCGCGCACCCCCUGCCCCUCCCUCACUCCCUCCCUCCCUCCCUCC